GUGUUUGUAGUCCAACGGUUACGAUAAUUGCCUUCCAAACAAUACACUUGGGUUCGACUCCUGGUAAACGAA
Ipomoea nil (Japanese morning glory) is the source of this 72-nucleotide transfer RNA. It matches the Rfam family "tRNA". Rfam says of the family: Transfer RNA (tRNA) molecules are approximately 80 nucleotides in length. The record is from Rfam. NCBI's taxonomy places the organism in Eukaryota, Viridiplantae, Streptophyta, Magnoliopsida, Solanales, Convolvulaceae.